AUGACGGGUAGGCGGAGUGAGAGCUUGGCCGCCAACCAUGCCACUGAGACACGGACCAUACUCCUACGGGAGGCAGCAGUCGAGAAUAUUCGACAAUGGGGGAAACCCUGAUCGAGCGACGUCGCGUGUGGGAUUAAGAUCUUCGGAUUGUAAACCACUUUUCUGGGGGAAGAAUUUUGACGGUACCUCAGGAAUAAGGGGUGACUAAACUCGUGCCAGCAGUAGCGGUAAUACGAGUGCCCC
Molecule: ribosomal RNA, 243 nt
Filed under: uncultured bacterium
Lineage: Bacteria
Description: partial 16S ribosomal RNA
Rfam family: Bacterial small subunit ribosomal RNA
Source: RNAcentral